CGCGUAGGCGGCCCUUUAAGUCAGAUGUGAAAGCCCGGGGCUUAACCCCGGAAGUGCAUUUGAAACUAUUGGGCUUGAGUAUGGGAGAGGGAAGUGGAAUUCCUGGUGUAGAGGUGAAAUUCGUAGAUAUCAGGAGGAACACCGGUGGCGAAGGCGACUUCCUGGACCAAUACUGACGCUGAGGCGCGAAGGCGUGGGGAGCAAACA
Molecule: ribosomal RNA, 207 nt
Filed under: uncultured bacterium
Lineage: Bacteria
Description: partial 16S ribosomal RNA
Rfam family: Bacterial small subunit ribosomal RNA
Source: RNAcentral